GUCCUCUUGAUGAUAUUUUGAGGUCUGGCCUGCUCACUGACAAGGUUUUGAAGAGCCGCGGUAUUUUGACCGUGCAAAGGUAGCAUAAUCAUUAGUCUCUUAAUUAGGGGCUGGAAUGAAUGGCUUGACGAGAAAUCAACUGUCUCUUAAUAAUUUUUAAAAUUUAACUUUUGAGUCAAAAGGCUUAAAUUUUUCUUUAGGACGAGAAGACCCUAUAGAGCUUAACAUUUUAUUUUUAUAUAGUUUUUAGUUGAUCUUUAUAUAUUUAAUGAUAAUGUUUUGUUGGGGUGACAUGAAGAAUAAUUAAACUCUUCAUUAUAAAAUCAUUAAUUUAUGUUUAUCAUGAUCCAUAAUUUAUGAUCAUAAGAUUAAGUUACCUUAGGGAUAACAGCGUAAUUGUUUUCGAGAGCUCAUAUCGACAAAGCAGAUUGCGACCUCGAUGUUGGAUUAAGAGAAAUUUUGGGUGUAGGAGCCCAAUAAUUAGGUCUGUUCGACCUUUAAAUUCUUACA
Molecule: ribosomal RNA, 510 nt
Filed under: Calliptamus tenuicercis
Lineage: Eukaryota; Metazoa; Arthropoda; Insecta; Orthoptera; Acrididae
Description: partial large subunit ribosomal RNA
Rfam family: Bacterial large subunit ribosomal RNA
Source: RNAcentral